CAGCGCCGCGGGAAUACAGAGGGUGCGAGCGUUAAUCGGAUUUACUGGGCGUAAAGCGUGCGUAGGCGGCUUUUUAAGUCGGAUGUGAAAUCCCUGAGCUUAACUUAGGAAUUGCAUUCGAUACUGGGAAGCUAGAGUAUGGGAGAGGAUGGUAGAAUUCCAGGUGUAGCGGUGAAAUGCGUAGAGAUCUGGAGGAAUACCGAUGGCGAAGGCAGCCAUCUGGCCUAAUACUGACGCUGAGGUACGAAAGCAUGGGGAGCAAACAGGAUUAGAUACCCCGGUAGUCCCUGUCUCUUAUACA
This 301-nucleotide ribosomal RNA is filed under the name uncultured bacterium. RNAcentral's name for it is "partial 16S ribosomal RNA". It matches the Rfam family "Bacterial small subunit ribosomal RNA", at positions 509 to 808 of the family's 1533-position model. The record is from RNAcentral.